RNAcentral lists this ribosomal RNA (1018 nucleotides) under uncultured bacterium. RNAcentral's name for it is "bacterial SSU rRNA". It matches the Rfam family "Bacterial small subunit ribosomal RNA", at positions 11 to 1019 of the family's 1533-position model. The record is from RNAcentral.
GUUUGAUCCUGGCUCAGAACGAACGUUAGCGGCGCGCUUAACACAUGCAAGUCGAGCGAGAAAGGGGCAACCCCGGUAAAGCGGCGCACGGGUGAGUAACACGUAGGUAAUCUACCCCCAGGUGGUGGAUAACCUUCCGAAAGGAGGGCUAAUACAGCAUGAGACCACGGUUCCGAAAGGGAUUGAGGUCAAAGCCGGCCUCUUCAUGAAAGCUGGUGCCAGGGGAUGAGUCUGCGGCCCAUCAGCUAGUUGGUAGGGUAACGGCCUACCAAGGCGAAGACGGGUAGCUGGUCUGAGAGGAUGAUCAGCCACACUGGAACUGAGACACGGUCCAGACUCCUACGGGAGGCAGCAGUGGGGAAUCUUGCGCAAUGGGCGAAAGCCUGACGCAGCGACGCCGCGUGAGUGAUGAAGGCCUUCGGGUUGUAAAGCUCUGUGGAGGGGGACGAAUAAGUCGUGGCCAACAUCCACGAUGAUGACGGUACCUCUUUAGCAAGCACCGGCUAACUCUGUGCCAGCAGCCGCGGUAAGACAGAGGGUGCAAACGUUGUUCGGAAUUACUGGGCGUAAAGCGCGUGUAGGCUGCUCUGCAAGUCGGAUGUGAAAGCCCUGGGCUCAACCUAGGAAGUGCAUUCGAAACUGCAAAGCUUGAGUCCUGGAGAGGAAGGCGGAAUUCUCGGUGUAGAGGUGAAAUUCGUAGAUAUCGAGAGGAACACCGGUGGCGAAGGCGGCCUUCUGGACAGUGACUGACGCUGAGACGCGAAAGCGUGGGGGAGCAAACAGGAUUAGAUACCCUGGUAGUCCACGCCGUAUACGAUGGGUGCUAGGUGUCGCGGGCUUUGACCCCUGCGGUGCCGUAGCUAACGCAUUAAGCACCCCGCCUGGGGAGUACUGCCGCAAGGCUAAACUCAAAGGAUUGACGGGGGGCCCGCACAGCCGUGGAGCAUGUGCUCAAUUCCACUCACGCGCUAACCUACCUGGCUUAAAAUGCAGAACCUGGUGGAAAAUCGGGGGGCGC